AAACUAUACAGUUUCAGUUACCAAUGCAUACCAAAAGACCUUUUAAAGAGUGCAACGGUCAAAAAGGUGAACUAUACAAAAGGUGUGCUAUACAAACCCAGAGACACAAGCUGUGUGGUUACUACUAGCCAUUAGUAAAACUACAGAGAAUUUAUUAUCUGACAUAAUUAUAAUAGCAGUCCCCGCCCCCCCUAGAAGAAAGCCAUAUAAAAGAAACAGGUGUCAAAUCUCAAACUAUACAGUUUCAGUUACCAAUGCAUACCAAAAGACCUUUUAAAGAGUGCAACGGUCAAAAAGGUGAACUAUACAAAAGGUGUGCUAUACAAACCCAGAGACACAAGCUGUGUGGUUACUACUAGCCAUUAGUAAAACUACAGAGAAUUUAUUAUCUGACAUAAUUAUAAUAGCAGUCCCCUUCAGGUGACAUAUCAGCAGUUUUAAUUAGCCUUCACCCAAGUGUUUGACAAAGGUUCCUUAUCUUUGAAUAUAACAUCAAAAAACUACAGGACAAUGCAACUCCGCAUUGCUGUGCCUGAGCUUUCAAUCAUGUGCAGUUGUUUUGACAUCUAAAGCAAGCUUGAGCAGAUCCAUCACCUCCAUUUCACGAUUUUCAUUCAAAGCCAGAGAUUCUAUCUUUAGCCUCUUGCCCCUUCCAAAAAUAUUCAGUUACGAUAGUAAUAUACCCUAAAUUCUGUGACUUGGG
Molecule: long non-coding RNA, 703 nt
Filed under: Olea europaea (common olive)
Lineage: Eukaryota; Viridiplantae; Streptophyta; Magnoliopsida; Lamiales; Oleaceae
Description: long non-coding RNA (OEUR_LNC003018)
Source: RNAcentral